This 443-nucleotide ribosomal RNA is filed under the name uncultured bacterium. RNAcentral describes it as "SSU rRNA". It matches the Rfam family "Bacterial small subunit ribosomal RNA", at positions 26 to 518 of the family's 1533-position model. The record is from RNAcentral.
AGAGCGAACGCUGGCGGCAGGCCUAACACAUGCAAGUCGAGCGCCCCGCAAGGGGAGCGGCAGACGGGAGAGUAACACGUGGGAACGUACCCUUCAGUUCGGAACAACCCAGGGAAACUUGGGCUAAUACCGAAUACGUCCGUAAGGAGAAAGAUUUAUCGCUGAAGGAUCGGCCCGCGUCUGAUUAGCUUGUUGGUGAGGUAACGGCUCACCAAGGCGACGAUCAGUAGCUGGUCUGAGAGGAUGAUCAGCCUCACUGGGACUGAGACACGGCCCAGACUCCUACGGGAGGCAGCAGUGGGGAAUAUUGGACAAUGGGCGCAAGCCUGAUCCAGCCAUGCCGCGUGGGUGAUGAAGGCCCUAGGGUUGUAAAGCCCUUUCGGCGGGGAAGAUAAUGACGGUACCCGCAGAAGAAGCCCGGCUAACUUCGUGCCAGCAGCCGC